GAUCCGAGGCUUUAUUUGGGAUCCUCCGGGACCCUCUGGAAUCUUUGGGACCCUCUGGGACCCCUCCCCUAUUUCCGGCACCCCCCACACCCAUCCCCAUCCCCAAUGGACCCUCUGGGAUCCUCUGGGAUCUUUUGGGACCCUCUGGGACCCCUCCCCUAUUUCUAACACCCCCCACACCCGUACCCUUCCCCGGAGCUGGAUCCUGGCUGGGCCCUGGAUCCCUGACCGGAUCCCUGACCGGAUCCCUGGCUGUAGCCCUGACCGGAUCCCUGGUUGUAUCCCUGACCGGAUCCCUGACCGGAUCCCUGACCGGAUCCCCGACCGGAUCCCUGACCGGAUCCCUGACCGGAUCCCUGGCCGGAUCCCUGGCUGUAUCCCUGACCGGAUCCCUGACCGGAUCCCUGGCUGUAGCCCUGACUGGAUCCCUGGCUGUAGCCCUGACUGGAUCCCUGGGCGGCUCCCAGGGCCGAUCCCUGACUGGUUCCCUGUCCGGAUCCAUGACCGGAUCCCUGGGCAGAUUCCAGGGCUGAUCCCUGUCUGGAUCCCUGACCAUACCCCUGGCUGUACCCCUGACCGGAUCCCCAGCUGUACCCCUGACCGGACCCCUGACCGGAUCCCGGACCGGAUCCCGGCCCCCGGCGGAUGGGCAGGCGCCCCCCGAUGCGGGCGGGGUGCCGCAGCCCCGGCACGAAGGGGAUCCCGGGGUUCUUGUAGCCGGGGCGCUGCCGGGAUCCCCCGAAGGAGCCCGAAUCCCCUCCGUAGGAUCCCGAUCCACCUCCGUAGGAUCCUGAUCCCCCAUAGGAUCCUGAUCCACCUCCGUAGGAUCCUGAUCCACUCCCGUAGGAUCCCGAUCCACCCCCGUAGGAUCCUGAUCCACCUCCGUAGGAUC
Molecule: long non-coding RNA, 892 nt
Filed under: Junco hyemalis (dark-eyed junco)
Lineage: Eukaryota; Metazoa; Chordata; Aves; Passeriformes; Passerellidae
Description: lncRNA (ENSJHYG00000007486.1)
Source: RNAcentral